AUGGCGGCGGUGAUGGACUACUUCAGGUCGUGCUGGGGCGCGCGGUCCCGGGCCGGGCGGCGGGGCAAGAAGGGCUCCGACGCCGCCGGCCGCCAGGACGGGCUGCUGUGGUACAAUGACGCCGGCCAGGCGGUCACCGGCGACUUCUCCAUGGCGGUAGUGCAGGCCAACAGCCUGCUGGAGGACCAGAGCCAGGUGGAGUCCGGCUCGCUCUCCAUGGCCGACCCCGGCCCGCAGGGCACCUUCGUCGGCGUCUAUGACGGCCAUGGCGGCCCGGAGACCUCCCGCUUCAUCAAUGACAACAUGUUCCACCAUCUCAGAAGAUUUGCAACCGAGCACAAGUGCAUGUCGGCCGAUGUGAUCCGGAAAGCCUUCCAAGCAACCGAGGACGGUUUCCUUUCUGUAGUCAGCAAGGAAUGGUCUAUGAAGCCUCAGAUCGCGGCAGUGGGCUCUUGCUGCCUGGUCGGCGUAAUUUGCUCCGGGACUCUCUACAUCGCAAACGCGGGCGACUCGCGUGCUGUUCUCGGAAGGCUCGUCAAGGCGACCGGUCAGGUUGUGGCCAUGCAGUUAUCGGCGGAGCACAACGCGUGCUACGAGGAAGUUAGGCAGGAGCUACAGUCAUCACACCCUCAUGAUCCACAAAUUGUGGUUCUGAAACACAACGUUUGGCGUGUGAAGGGCCUCAUCCAGAUAUCAAGAUCUAUCGGAGAUGUAUAUCUGAAAAGACCAGAGUAUAACAGAUCACCUCUACAUAGCAAGUUUCGGCUCCGGGAAACCUUCAAGAAGCCAAUUCUUAGUUCUGAACCUGCGAUUGCUGUUCACCAAAUACAACCGAGUGAUCAGUUUGUUAUAUUUGCUUCUGACGGGCUAUGGGAGCACCUCAGCAAUCAGGAAGCAGUUGACCUUGUCCAAAGUAACCCUCGUAAUGGGAUUGCGCGGAAGCUAGUGAAGGCCGCGAUGCAAGAGGCGGCAAAGAAGAGGGAGAUGAGGUACUCGGACCUGAAGAAGAUCGAGCGCGGGGUGCGGCGGCAUUUCCACGACGACAUAACGGUGGUCGUGGUGUUCCUGGACGCCACGAGCGCCGUGAGCAGGGCGGGGUGGAGCAAGAGCCCGUCGGUGUCGGUGCGAGGGGGCGGCGUGAGCGUCCCCGCCAACUCCCUCGCGCCUUUCUCGGCCCCCGCCAUGGUCAGCAGCACCUACUGA
This 1203-nucleotide ribosomal RNA is filed under the name Triticum aestivum (bread wheat). RNAcentral describes it as "partial small subunit ribosomal RNA". Lineage: Eukaryota; Viridiplantae; Streptophyta; Magnoliopsida; Poales; Poaceae. The record is from RNAcentral.